AACGAACGCUGGCGGCAUGCCUAACACAUGCAAGUCGAACGAGACCUUCGGGUCUAGUGGCGCACGGGUGCGUAACACGUGGGAAUUUGCCUCGGGGUAUGGAAUAACUCAGGGAAACUUGAGCUAAUAUCAUAUAAUGUCUUCGGACCAAAGAUUUAUCGCCCUGAGAUAAGCCCGCGUAGGAUUAGCUAGUUGGUGGGGUAAAGGCUCACCAAGGCGAUGAUCCUUAGCUGGUCUGAGAGGAUGAUCAGCCACACUGGGACUGAGACACGGCCCAGACUCCUACGGGAGGCAGCAGUGGGGAAUAUUGGACAAUGGGCGAAAGCCUGAUCCAGCAAUGCCGCGUGAGUGAUGAAGGCCUGGUGUAAG
RNAcentral lists this ribosomal RNA (369 nucleotides) under uncultured bacterium. RNAcentral describes it as "bacterial SSU rRNA". It matches the Rfam family "Bacterial small subunit ribosomal RNA", at positions 29 to 429 of the family's 1533-position model. The record is from RNAcentral.